RNAcentral lists this ribosomal RNA (1343 nucleotides) under uncultured bacterium. RNAcentral describes it as "16S ribosomal RNA". It matches the Rfam family "Bacterial small subunit ribosomal RNA", at positions 28 to 1378 of the family's 1533-position model. The record is from RNAcentral.
GACGAACGCUGGCGGCGUGCUUAACACAUGCAAGUCGAACGGAAAGGCCCUGCUUUUGUGGGGUGCUCGAGUGGCGAACGGGUGAGUAACACGUGAGUAACCUGCCCUUGACUUUGGGAUAACUUCAGGAAACUGGGGCUAAUACCGGAUAGGAGCUCCUGCUGCAUGGUGGGGGUUGGAAAGUUUCGGCGGUUGGGGAUGGACUCGCGGCUUAUCAGCUUGUUGGUGGGGUAGUGGCUUACCAAGGCUUUGACGGGUAGCCGGCCUGAGAGGGUGACCGGCCACAUUGGGACUGAGAUACGGCCCAGACUCCUACGGGAGGCAGCAGUGGGGAAUAUUGCACAAUGGGCGGAAGCCUGAUGCAGCAACGCCGCGUGCGGGAUGACGGCCUUCGGGUUGUAAACCGCUUUCGCCUGUGACGAAGCGUGAGUGACGGUAAUGGGUAAAGAAGCACCGGCUAACUACGUGCCAGCAGCCGCGGUGAUACGUAGGGUGCGAGCGUUGUCCGGAUUUAUUGGGCGUAAAGGGCUCGUAGGUGGUUGAUCGCGUCGGAAGUGUAAUCUUGGGGCUUAACCCUGAGCGUGCUUUCGAUACGGGUUGACUUGAGGAAGGUAGGGGAGAAUGGAAUUCCUGGUGGAGCGGUGGAAUGCGCAGAUAUCAGGAGGAACACCAGUGGCGAAGGCGGUUCUCUGGGCCUUUCCUGACGCUGAGGAGCGAAAGCGUGGGGAGCGAACAGGCUUAGAUACCCUGGUAGUCCACGCUGUAAACGGUGGGUACUAGGUGUGGGGUCCAUUCCACGGGUUCCGUGCCGUAGCUAACGCUUUAAGUACCCCGCCUGGGGAGUACGGCCGCAAGGCUAAAACUCAAAGGAAUUGACGGGGCCCCGCACAAGCGGCGGAGCAUGCGGAUUAAUUCGAUGCAACGCGUAGAACCUUACCUGGGUUUGACAUGGGUCGGGAGUGCUCAGAGAUGGGUGUGCCUCUUUUGGGGUCGGUUCACAGGUGGUGCAUGGCUGUCGUCGGCUCGUGUCGUGAGAUGUUGGGUUAAGUCCCGCAACGAGCGCAACCCUUGUUCACUGUUGCCAGCACGUUAUGGUGGGGACUCAGUGGAGACCGCCGGGGUCAACUCGGAGGAAGGUGGGGAUGACGUCAAGUCAUCAUGCCCCUUAUGUCCAGGGCUUCACGCAUGCGACAAUGGCUGGUACAGAGAGUGGCGAGCCUGUGAGGGUGAGCGAAUCUCGGAAAGCCGGUCUCAGUUCGGAUUGGGGUCUGCAACUCGACCUCAUGAAGUCGGAGUCGCUAGUAAUCGCAGAUCAGCAACGCUGCGGUGAAUACGUUCCCGGG